UACGGAGGGUGCAAGCGUUGUUCGGAAUCACUGGGCGUAAAGCGCGUGUAGGCGGCCUUUUAAGUCCGAUGUGAAAGCCCGGGGCUCACCCCCGGAAGUGCAUUGGAUACUGUCGGGCUUGAGUACGGAAGAGGCGAGUGGAAUUCCUGGUGUAGCGGUGAAAUGCGCAGAUAUCAGGAGGAACACCAAUUGCGAAGGCAGCUCGCUGGGACGUUACUGACGCUGAGACGCGAAAGCGUGGGGAGCAAACAGG
This 253-nucleotide ribosomal RNA is filed under the name uncultured bacterium. RNAcentral describes it as "partial 16S ribosomal RNA". It matches the Rfam family "Bacterial small subunit ribosomal RNA", at positions 524 to 776 of the family's 1533-position model. The record is from RNAcentral.